This 253-nucleotide ribosomal RNA is filed under the name uncultured bacterium. RNAcentral's name for it is "partial 16S ribosomal RNA". It matches the Rfam family "Bacterial small subunit ribosomal RNA", at positions 524 to 776 of the family's 1533-position model. The record is from RNAcentral.
UACAGAGGGUGCAAGCGUUGUUCGGAAUUACUGGGCGUAAAGCGCGUGUAGGCGGUUCUUCAAGUCUCGUGUGAAAGCCCUGGGCUCAACCCAGGAAGUGCGCGAGAUACUAGGGAGCUGGAGUGUCGGAGAGGAGGGCGGAAUACCCGGAGUAGAGGUGAAAUUCGUAGAUAUCGGGUGGAACACCUGUGGCGAAGGCGGCCCUCUGGACGAUAACUGACGCUGAGACGCGAAAGCAUGGGGAGCAAACAGG